Molecule: long non-coding RNA, 670 nt
Filed under: Panax ginseng (ginseng)
Lineage: Eukaryota; Viridiplantae; Streptophyta; Magnoliopsida; Apiales; Araliaceae
Description: long non-coding RNA (PGIN_LNC013800)
Source: RNAcentral
UUCACUGUUUUUUGUGGCUUAAGAACUAAUGUUUAAUUAUCAGACUUUACUAGCGGACUAAAAUUGUGUAAUAUUUUAUUACUAGUCGUAUCCCGUGCCUCCGACACUAUAUGGACGGUGAAAUUUAUUUCAGACUUUGGACGGCUCAAAUAAUUUAUUAGAGUGAGCGAAAAAUUCAAAAUCAAUUAUAUUUUGUUAGAUAGAUAUAUGCUAAUUAUGAUGAAUUAUCAAAAAAAAAUUUGUUGUUGAUCUCCUUUAACAACAAUUGCAAUUAUGUCAUUGUCUAAUUAUUAGUAUCUUGAUGGAUUAAUAUUUAAUAAUUAUUUAUUUAUAAAAAUUUAAAAUUCUUAUAUCUACAUUUGCAUUGCAUAUUUCUUAAAAUCUCUCGUCUUAUUCAAAAUGGGUACAAUGCAAUUUGUAAAUAUAGAAACUUCAAUGUGAAUACAAGAAGUAUUUGCAUGGGGCUUUCGCCCAGCACAAACCAAACAAAACUUGUCCAGUGAUUUUGAUUUUGCCUUGUGUUGCAAAACUUCGACGCUAGCCAAAUAUCUUCAGUACAAGUCCCUAAUUUCCAAAAUUAACCUCACCAUUUUUUAUUUUACUUUUAAAAUAAAGAAGAGAAAGACAAAAGAGUUGAUGAUAUCAUAUCAAGAGUAUCUAAGGACAAGAC